This 239-nucleotide ribosomal RNA is filed under the name uncultured bacterium. Its description in RNAcentral is "partial 16S ribosomal RNA". It matches the Rfam family "Bacterial small subunit ribosomal RNA", at positions 15 to 235 of the family's 1533-position model. The record is from RNAcentral.
GAUCCUGGCUCAGGAUGAACGCUGGCGGCGUGCUUAACACAUGCAAGUCGAACGAAGCACUUUAUUAUGAUUUCUUCGGAAUGACGAUUUAGUGACUGAGUGGCGGACGGGUGAGUAACGCGUGGGUAACCUGCCUUAUACAGGGGGAUAACAGUUAGAAAUGACUGCUAAUACCGCAUAAGCGCACAGGAUUGCAUGAUCUGGUGUGAAAAACUCCGGUGGUAUAAGAUGGACCCGCG